Molecule: non-coding RNA, 515 nt
Organism: Triticum urartu
Lineage: Eukaryota; Viridiplantae; Streptophyta; Magnoliopsida; Poales; Poaceae
Source: RefSeq, a predicted model, not a curated record
CCCCGCGCCCCCCCCCCCCCCGCCCCCCGCGUCGGUGAGGACAGCCAUGGAUGGGCCCCCUGGAGCUCUUCUGCCGUCGCCCGAUCUGGCCACCCGCCCAGUAGCCGGACCGUGCUCCGGAUCCAGCCAACAGCCUCGCCUCCGACUCGAUUCAGACGCCCACAGCCUUCCUCCGCCACAUGCGCCAUGCAUGAUGCAUGCCCCCAGCUCGCAAGGAGGCCAGGCACCUCGUCCAACUGAUGCACCGACGGCGCGUAUCGGCGUGGGGGUGGGCCGGCGACACACAACGGCAUAUUUCUUUUUCUCUCUUGUCAGUACCGCUUCGGGUUGACUUAUAAUAGUACUGCGGGUUGAAUACCCAAAACAGCAGGAGAUUUUCUGUAAAAAUGCCGACGACGUACGACCAGAAGCGUUCCGUGCUUUAUUAGUAGGUAGAGAUAGAGAUUUAUACUGGAUUUACUUUUUGAUUUCGUUUCAAUGGAAUGAAGACCGAGGAGACCCUGUUGGUCAGAAAA